AGCGAACGCUGGCGGUAGGCCUAACACAUGCAAGUCGAACGGCAGCACAGGAGAGCUUGCUCUCUGGGUGGCGAGUGGCGGACGGGUGAGGAAUACAUCGGAAUCUACUUUUUCGUGGGGGAUAACGUAGGGAAACUUACGCUAAUACCGCAUACGACCUACGGGUGAAAGCAGGGGACCUUCGGGCCUUGCGCGAUUGAAUGAGCCGAUGUCGGAUUAGCUAGUUGGCGGGGUAAAGGCCCACCAAGGCGACGAUCCGUAGCUGGUCUGAGAGGAUGGUCAGCCACACUGGAACUGAGACACGGUCCAGACUCCUACGGGAGGCAGCAGUGGGGAAUAUUGGACAAUGGGCGCAAGCCUGAUCCAGCCAUACCGCGUGGGUGAAGAAGGCCUUUGGGUUGUAAAGCCCUUUUGUUGGGAAAGAAAUCCAGCUGGCUAAUACCCGGUUGGGAUGACAGUACCCAAAGAAUAAGCACCGGCUAACUUCGUGCCAGCAGCCGCCGCCG
Molecule: ribosomal RNA, 506 nt
Filed under: uncultured bacterium
Lineage: Bacteria
Description: partial 16S ribosomal RNA
Rfam family: Bacterial small subunit ribosomal RNA
Source: RNAcentral